RNAcentral lists this ribosomal RNA (497 nucleotides) under uncultured bacterium. RNAcentral describes it as "partial 16S ribosomal RNA". It matches the Rfam family "Bacterial small subunit ribosomal RNA", at positions 28 to 507 of the family's 1533-position model. The record is from RNAcentral.
GAUGAACGCUGGCGGCGUGCCUAAUACAUGCAAGUCGAGCGAACAGACGAUGAGCUUGCUCCUCUGACGUUAGCGGCGGACGGGUGAGUAACACGUGUAUAACCUACCUAUAAUACUGGUAUAACUUCGGGAAACCGGAUCUAAUACCGUAUAAUCUAUUGAACCACAGUGUUCAAUAGUGAAAUACGGUUUUUCUGUCACUUCUAGCUGGAUCCCCGCCGCAUUAGAUGGUUGUUCAGUUAACGGCUUUCUAAGGCUACGAUGCGUAGCCGACCUGAGAGGGUGAUCGGCCACACUGGAACUGAGACAGGGACCAGGCUCCUACGGGAGGCAGCAGUAGGCAAUCUUACGCAAUGGGCGAAAGCUUGACGCAGUAAGGCCGAGUGAGAGACGAAGGUCUUCGGAUCGUAAAAAUCUGUUACUAGGGAAAAACAAAUGUGUAAGUAAAUAUGCACAUAUUGACGGUAACUAAUAAGAAAGCAACGGCUAACUACGUG